UACGUAGGGGGCUAGCGUUGUCCGGAUUUAUUGGGCGUAAAGAGCGUGUAGGCGGCCAGGUAGGUCUGCUGUGAAAACUCGAGGCUCAACCUCGAGACGUCGGCGGAAACCAUCUGGCUAGAGUCCGGAAGAGGAGAGUGGAAUUCCUGGUGUAGCGGUGAAAUGCGCAGAUAUCGAGAGGAACACCUGCGGCGAAGGCGGGUAGCUGGGCCGACACUGACGCUGAGGCGCGAAAGCCAGGGGAGCGAACGGG
RNAcentral lists this ribosomal RNA (253 nucleotides) under uncultured bacterium. RNAcentral describes it as "partial 16S ribosomal RNA". It matches the Rfam family "Bacterial small subunit ribosomal RNA", at positions 524 to 776 of the family's 1533-position model. The record is from RNAcentral.